RNAcentral lists this unclassified non-coding RNA (323 nucleotides) under Hevea brasiliensis (rubber tree). Lineage: Eukaryota; Viridiplantae; Streptophyta; Magnoliopsida; Malpighiales; Euphorbiaceae. The record is from RNAcentral.
ACAUAGGAAAUAUCAUAAAAAUUUCAUAAGCUUGUUAAACAAUAUAUUGAAUCUCAAAAUAGUUAUUUUUUCUGUAAAAGAUUACAUAUUGUCUAACUUUGUAGAAAGAGCUAUAAUGGUUAUUCUCCGACAGCAAAAGUUCAGCUGUUGCUCCCAUCAAUAGGUAGGCUAUAAGGCUAUUAUCAAUAACAAGUAAGUCAUGCUACAUAAAAAUAUCCAAGUUCCUAUGCAAGAUGUCCUCAAACCACUACAUAUGUAGUGCUGCAAUUUUUCUUCUUAAAUUUAAUCUAUUUUUAUUAUUUAUCUUGCUCUACAUAAUUCAA